UACGGAGGAUGCGAGCGUUAUCCGGAUUUAUUGGGUUUAAAGGGUGCGCAGGCGGACUUAUAAGUCAGCGGUGAAAUCUGGAGGCUUAACCUUCAACUUGCCGUUGAAACUGUAAGUCUUGAGUAUAGAUGAAGUAGGCGGAAUUCGUUGUGUAGCGGUGACAUGCUUAGAUAUAACGAGGAACUCCGAUUGCGUAGGCAGCUUACUAAGCUAUAACUGACGCUCAUGCACGAAAGCGUGGGGAUCAAACAGG
This 253-nucleotide ribosomal RNA is filed under the name uncultured Dysgonomonas sp. RNAcentral describes it as "partial 16S ribosomal RNA". It matches the Rfam family "Bacterial small subunit ribosomal RNA", at positions 524 to 776 of the family's 1533-position model. The record is from RNAcentral. Lineage: Bacteria; Pseudomonadati; Bacteroidota; Bacteroidia; Bacteroidales; Dysgonomonadaceae.